GACGAACGCUGGCGGCGCGCUUAACACAUGCAAGUCGAACGGAAAGGCCUGCUUUCCCUUGUGGAUUGCGGGUACUCGAGUGGCGAACGGAUGAGUAACACGUGAGUGAUCUGCCCCCAACUUGGGUAUAAGCCUGGGAAACUGGGUCUAAUUCCCGAUAGGACUGCAGGGUGGUGCCUGUGGUGGAAAACGAUUUUCUAGUGGUUGGGGAUGAGCUCGCGGCCUAUCAGCUUGUUGGUGGGGUAAUGGCCUACCAAGGCGGCGACGGGUAGCCGGCCUGAGAGGGUGGACGGCCACAUUGGGACUGAGAUACGGCCCAGACUCCUACGGGAGGCAGCAGUGGGGAAUAUUGCACAAUGGGCGGAAGCCUGAUGCAGCGACGCCGCGUGGGGGAUGACGGCCUUCGGGUUGUAAACUCCUUUCGACCGCGAGGAAGCCACCUGGUUGGAAGGGUGGUGACGGUAGUGGUAGAAGAAGCACCGGCUAACUACGUG
This 494-nucleotide ribosomal RNA is filed under the name uncultured bacterium. RNAcentral describes it as "partial 16S ribosomal RNA". It matches the Rfam family "Bacterial small subunit ribosomal RNA", at positions 28 to 507 of the family's 1533-position model. The record is from RNAcentral.